This is an RNA transcript of Eutrema salsugineum, 2484 nucleotides long. It is a transcript of the gene named 1-deoxy-D-xylulose-5-phosphate synthase, chloroplastic, with no coding region annotated. NCBI's taxonomy places the organism in Eukaryota, Viridiplantae, Streptophyta, Magnoliopsida, Brassicales, Brassicaceae. The transcript is spliced from 10 exons. The record is from RefSeq and is a predicted model, not a curated record.
CCUUCCUCUCUCUCUCCCAACUCAUCUGGAUUCUGUGACUUCUCUCCAUCAUGUUAAUCUCGUAAAAACUUCUCCAUUCGCGGCAUUUAUUCGAAUUCGCAUGAUGACACUCUAGAAUUAUCGGCCUUUUGUAGUUGUUUUUCGAGGCUUUUUCCUUCAUGGGUUCGGCUUCGAUCGGGUAUCAAUUCGGAAUCUCAGCUCGGUUUCAUUUGAGGUCGGAUGUUGCCGUCUCCUCGCUUCCAUGUAAAGUUGAUAUUUCCAGAAAGAGCUUCUUCUCAGCUGCAAGCUCCACUCACAAGGAAUUUUCAAAUCGAGCUCGGGUAUGUUCUUUGCCAGAUAUUGAUGAGUACUGCGAUGAGAAAGUUGAGACGCCAAUACUAGACAGCAUUGAAACUCCAUCGCAGUUGAAGAAUUUGAGUGUUAAGGAGUUGAAGCAAUUAGCUGAUGAAAUCCGUAAUGAGCUUCUUUCUGUACUAUGGAAGACCCAAAAGCCUGUGAACCAAAGCUUGGCUGCAAUAGAGCUUACCCUUGCUCUGCAUUAUGUCUUUCGUGCCCCGGUUGAUAAAAUAUUGUGGGAUUCUGUGGAACAAACAUAUGCACAUAAAGUCUUGACAGGACGUUGGUCAGCGAUACCAUCGAGACAAAAUAAUGGUAUUUCUAGGGUCACUUCUAGAUUGGAGAGUGAAUAUGAUACUUUUGGGACCGGGCAUGGCUGCAACAGUAUUUCUGCUGGGCUCGGAUUAGCAGUUGCUCGAGAUAUGAAAGGAAAAAGGGACAGGGUUGUUGCUGUGAUAGACAACGUGACAAUAACUGCUGGUCAAGCAUAUGAGGCAAUGAGCAAUGCUGGUUACUUGGAUUCUAAUAUGAUUGUUAUCCUAAAUGAUAGCCGUCACUCUUUGCAUCCAAAUAUGGCGGAGGGAUCCAAGGCAUCCAUCAGUGCACUAUCCAGCAUCAUGAGCAAAAUCCAGUCUAGCCAGAUUUUCCGGAAAUUUAGAGAACUAGCGAAAGCUAUGACGAAAAAAAUAGGAAAGGGGAUGUAUGAAUGGGCAGCCAAAGUCGAUGAGUAUGCACGUGGUAUGGUGGGACCAACAGGAUCAACUCUCUUUGAGGAACUUGGUUUGUACUACAUUGGUCCUGUUGAUGGACACAACAUCGGAGAUCUAGUUUGUGUCUUCCGAGAAGUAGCUUCUUUAGAUUCAAUGGGUCCUGUGUUGGUCCAUGUUAUCACAGACGAAAACCGAGAUGCAGAAACCGGAAAGAACAUCGUGGUCAAAGACAGACGCACUUAUAGUGAUUGCUUUGUGGAGGCCUUGGUGAUGGAGGCAGAAAAAGAUAGAGAUAUUGUUGUGGUUCAUGCAGGGAUGGAGAUGGAUCCAUCACUUGUUACAUUUCAGGAGAGAUUUCCAGACAGGUUUUUCAAUGUCGGAAUGGCUGAACAGCAUGCUGUCACAUUCUCUGCUGGUCUUUCUUCUGGAGGUCUCAAGCCCUUUUGCAUUAUUCCCUCUGCAUUUCUACAAAGAGCUUAUGACCAGGUGGUUCAUGAUGUAGAUAGGCAGAGAAAGGCGGUGCGAUUUGUUAUUACAAGCGCAGGGCUUGUUGGAUCCGAUGGUCCAGUGCAGUGUGGAGCUUUUGACAUAGCUUUCAUGUCAAGCUUACCAAACAUGAUAGCCAUGGCUCCAGCCGAUGAGGAUGAGCUUGUAGAUAUGGUUGCUACUGCAGCUUACAUCACUGACCGCCCAGUUUGUUUCCGGUUCCCCAGAGGCGCCAUCGUCAACAAGAAUUAUCUCGUUCGCACUGGAUCACCAAUUGAAAGUAGAUUGGAAGAGGAAGAGUUGUUGUAGAGGGUCAAGACGUGGCUUUGCUCGGGUAUGGAGCCAUGGUUCAGAAUUGUCUUAAUGCUCACUCGCUUCUCUCGAAACUCGGUUUGAACGUGACCGUAGCUGAUGCAAGAUUUUGCAAACCCCUCGACAUAAAGCUUGUGCGUGAUCUUUGUCAGAAGCACAAAUUCCUUAUCACUGUAGAAGAAGGCUGCGUUGGAGGGUUCGGCUCUCAUGUGGCGCAAUUUAUAGCCCUCGAUGGCCAGCUCGAUGGGAUAAUCAAGUGGAGACCGAUUGUGUUGCCGGAUGGCUACAUCGAAGAAGCUUCGCCUAGCGAACAGCUUGCUCUUGCCGGGCUAACCGGACAUCACAUAGCAGCAACCGCUUUGAGUCUUUUGGGUCGAACUCGUGAAGCAUUGCUUCUCAUGAGCUAAGCUUAAACUUCUCAAGAAGAUUAGAGACUUAAAAGAGGCGUCACAUUAUGACUUUUUAUAACUCUUGUUGGAGGGAAUAUGAUCAGUGUAAUUAUUAAGUUUCUUAAGCACAAACUGUAAAUAUAUAAAUUCGGAAUUCAAGAACCCAUUUUCUGUUCAGAUUUUUCAAGAGAUUUAACUGGAUUGUAAGGUGUAAAUGUAAAGGUGAAAUGUAGUGAAUAAAGAAAUUACUU